Molecule: long non-coding RNA, 1358 nt
Filed under: Sander lucioperca (pikeperch)
Lineage: Eukaryota; Metazoa; Chordata; Actinopteri; Perciformes; Percidae
Description: lncRNA (ENSSLUG00000019359.1)
Source: RNAcentral
UUUUAUUCCUUGUUCGGUUUUAAGUUUGCAAUGUGUGUUGCAGCAAGUGUCUACUGUUGAGCUCUUCUUCGUGUCUCGUCCUGGCCUUGGAGGAAAAUACAGGGAGGAAUGCUGCAGGGGGACGAGAGGAGGAGGGGAGCAACUGCGACUCAGAGGGAGGGGUCCUCUCUUCAGGAAUUCUGCUGGGUUGGAGUAGCCUAUCUUUGCUGCAUGAUCAGUGUCCACCAUUGAUGUCAACACUGUCAGAUCCUGAGUUUCAGCAACAUCCCCCCCCCCUCACCAGUUCCAACUGUACUCACAGCUGGAACUAAACCCCAAUGGAAAAGAUACGGAGGGCAACACUUAGAGACCGUCAUAAAUGGAUAUUUCUGUAUAAGAAGACCAAGAGAUAGGAGUAUAUUUGUUAAAUAAACUGCACAGUCUGGGGUGGGUAAAGAUCUGGGCGAUAUCUCUGCCUAACCUAUUUUGGAGCAAUGCUCCACAACACUCCAAAUCCUAUAUUUUUUUCCCAAAGUCAAAAGAAAUUGACACCACUUAUCUGCUGGUGGAGGAAACAUGAGUGCCACUUUUUUUUCUUCAUCUCCCUUCAGUGUGUGAGAGGACCUUAACUGAAGUGACAUGGGGACGGUGACCCGAUCGCCCUUGUGUCGAGUGCCUUUCCAAAACAAAUCAGCUGUUCAGAUUUAGUGCCAACCUCCAUUUAUCACCAAAAGAACCCUUCGCCGUGGCAGUCCACAAUUUAGUAAACUGUUCUUCUGGAUAAUCGUGUACGGGUGGUGGCUGAAAAGAAACUACAAUAGGCUUUUUGUUAAUGGAAUGGCGGUUUUCUGUAUGUUUUACGUUGGCCUUUUUGAAGUCUACGGUGUUAAUUUUGUAAUGUCUGCUUUGUCUGGCCAAACCUAUUUUCUUGAAAUGCACAGGUACUGGAAUCUCCCUUGACGUGAUAACAACACCAAACGCUUACCUUUCCAGACCACUUAAAUCAAAUCAUGUUCAUGUUUAUUUUGUUGUUUCUAACAGGAAAUGUGAUGAUGUACCCUUGACAAAUCUAACCUGAUUGUAAGUUUAAUUUCAGACCAGCCCUUUAAGAAUGGGCUGUCUGUUUUAAAAACAAGACUUUUAAUACAAAUUGCAUUUUUUUUUAAAAAGAAACCAGGCUGUGUUUUCUCUUUUGUUGAGAUCUAUUUGUUUCAACGUGUUGCUACAAUGACUAAUUGCCAGUUUGCUGAUCCUAAACAAAGUUUUCAUGAGCAGUUUAGAGUUUUAAGAGUAUAAUUGCUUAAACAUCAGCUCAGUAUGAUUUUGAAUACACAGAAAUAAUGGGAUUACUACAAAUACUAGGGGUCGACCGAUACUGG